UACAGAGGGUGCGAGCGUUAAUCGGAAUUACUGGGCGUAAAGGGUGCGUAGGCGGCAUUUUAAGUCAGAUGUGAAAGUCCCGGGCUUAACCUGGGGAGAGCAUAUGAAACUGAAGAGCUAGAGUAUGGUAGAGGGAAGCGGAAUUUCCGGUGUAGCGGUGAAAUGCGUAGAUAUCGGAAGGAACACCAGUGGCGAAAGCGGCUUUCUGGACCAAUACUGACGCUGAGGCACGAAAGCGUGGGUAGCGAACAGG
This 253-nucleotide ribosomal RNA is filed under the name uncultured bacterium. RNAcentral describes it as "partial 16S ribosomal RNA". It matches the Rfam family "Bacterial small subunit ribosomal RNA", at positions 524 to 776 of the family's 1533-position model. The record is from RNAcentral.